This 194-nucleotide ribosomal RNA is filed under the name uncultured Rhodocyclaceae bacterium. RNAcentral describes it as "partial 16S ribosomal RNA". It matches the Rfam family "Bacterial small subunit ribosomal RNA", at positions 338 to 524 of the family's 1533-position model. The record is from RNAcentral. Lineage: Bacteria; Pseudomonadati; Pseudomonadota; Betaproteobacteria; Rhodocyclales; Rhodocyclaceae.
CCUAGGGGAGGCAGCAGUGGGGAAUUUUGGACAAUGGGGGCAACCCUGAUCCAGCCAUGCCGCGUGAGUGAAGAAGGCCUUCGGGUUGUAAAGCUCUUUCGGCCGGGAAGAAAUCGCACAGGCUAAUACUCUGUGUGGAUGACGGUACCGGCAUAAGAAGCACCGGCUAACUACGUGCCAUCAGCCGCGGUAAU